UCCCCGUUAUCCGAGGCGGUUUCGCUAGAGUGCCCGGCUUGACCCGCUGGCAACUAACGAUAAGGGUUGCGCUCGUUGCGGGACUUAACCCAACAUCUCACGACACGAGCUGACGACAGCCAUGCAGCACCUCCACAGCAGUUCUUGCGAAAAGGGAUAUUUCUACCCCGGUCCACUGUGCUUCGAGCCCAGGUAAGGUUCUUCGCGUUGCGUCGAAUUGAACCACAUGCUCCACCGCUUGUGCGGGCCCCCGUCAAUUCCUUUGAGUUUCAGUCUUGCGACCGUACUCCCCAGGCGGAAUGCUAAAAGCGUUAGCUGCAAUACUAAGAGGACAAGCCCCCUAACAUCUAGUUCUCAUCGUUUAGGGCGUGGACUAC
This 377-nucleotide unclassified non-coding RNA is filed under the name uncultured Acidobacteriota bacterium. RNAcentral describes it as "uncultured Acidobacteria bacterium contains 16S-23S intergenic spacer region". Lineage: Bacteria; Pseudomonadati; Acidobacteriota. The record is from RNAcentral.